This 1363-nucleotide small RNA is filed under the name Vigna angularis var. angularis. RNAcentral's name for it is "Non-protein coding transcript". The record is from RNAcentral. Lineage: Eukaryota; Viridiplantae; Streptophyta; Magnoliopsida; Fabales; Fabaceae.
UUUCCAUUUCCAAGGCAUUCCUACCUCCCAUUAUUGGGGCUUUUACUAUCAACCUUGAGGACAAGGUUAUUGUCACAUAGGGAGACUUUGUUAAUGGGCUUGGCACUCGUAACAAACCAUUAGGAAUACAUCUAAGCCCCCUUGCCUAAAGGACUUUAUCUACCCUAAACCACGAGUUCUAAUUAGGAAUCUUUUCUAUUAUCCACAAUGAUAAGUGUCUUUGACUAGUUUGUAGGAAUAAUGUAUUCAAGUCUUUAUAUCACCUACUGUGGAAAUGAAGAAGGCAAAGAAUCUUUAUUAUUUUCAAAUAGUUUUCUUAGAGUAGUAUAGUUUUAUUCUUUCUAUCACCUAAGCAUGUAUCAAUGCUCUAUACAUACGUAGGCAAGUAGCUAUAAAAAUGGAUUUAAUCUCUUGUGAUAAGGGUUGUAGGAAUAUUAUUUGUGAAUUGAAAAAUUUUGAUCUCGUAAAUGUUCUUAAAAAUUGGAAUGUGGAAGUUGUUCCUCAGUUCAUAUUUAUUGGUAUGAUAAUUCUUUAGUUGAUAGUGUCGUUGGCGGAGGUCUACUAAUCAGAUUUAGAAUCAUUGUUGGCAGAAUCUUCCAAAUGAAGGCUUGGUUGCCUAUAGGCCGGACUUCAGUCUAGCAAUGUAGUGUUUCUUUCUUCUUAUUUUUUCCUACUAUACUAAAAAAACAUGGUAUCAAAGUUUCAUGACCCUCCAUGGACUGUCUUGUCAAAACUCCACUGUUGAAUUUCCUAAAACAAAAAUGCAAAACUCUAAUUAAUAACAUAAUCUAUUAUUUCUCUUGUUUCCAACAAGACUAUCCCUUUUCCACUGUUUCCAAAUAUGGUUGCUACUCCAAUUCGUAAGUGUUGUUCAUUGUCUGACUUUUUCAUUGACAUACCCUAUGCUCACCACCUUCCCAAAGCAUUGCCUCACCUUUGUCCUCUUAGAUGCAUUGACCCUGACUUUAUACGAUAUACUUUGCCCAGACUUUUCCCAAAUGCAUUGGCCCCAACUUUGUCCCAUAUGAACUAGCCCCUGCCUUUGUCCCAGAUGCACUAGCCCUACCCAAAUGCAAUAGACUAUAUUUAUGCAUUGACAUGGUCUCUAUCCAAGAGCCAUAUGUUCAAGUUUAAAAAUUUUGGGUCUCCAAUAAUAUUUUGAAGCUUCCAAUACGGUUUUAAAAAGGACAGCCCUGCUUUGGUUGCCAUGAAUUGUAUCUCAGGUUGAUGGUCAUCCCAUCUUAGCUAAGCUAUUUCUCUCUCCAACUUCUCCAAUAUUUCUAAGUUACUUUUCCCACAAUUGCUUAGUGGAGCUCAUUUUCUUUUUAGGUAAACUUAAUUAUUUUAUUGUAACAAGCUAACG